GGAUUAUAUAGCCCUAGAUGGCAGAGAUAAAGACAGAAUCCCACUGCCUGCAGGCGAUGGGACCGCAGUGCGUAAAGACCCAGGACUGUGAGGUCUGUUCUACUUACCAGGAACUUCAUGAUGCAUAGAGAAUGGCUACAGAGCUAGUUAGUCUACAGAAGAAGGGAGAGAGAAUGGAGAUGCAGCUACAUUCCAGGAGCAGGCUGGACACAGGGGUUCUCCCCGCAGGGGCUCCACUUCCUUGGAUCAACCAGCUUUCACCAAACCGAGCUGCCAUUGGCUCCUUAUGGAAGGCGAGUUUCUAGCGGCCCCAUGAACAGCUAGCAUGAGUACCGCCUUGCCUGCCCAAGGUUCCUGAUGAUGGAGAGAAGCAUGGAGCCGUCUCAUCAUUUAACCAUGCUGUGUCCUAUUUUCAAGCAGCAGGUGGUGACAGUAGCCUGGCCCAUAGUCUUCUGUGGUCAAGCCCAUCUUGACCACAAGCCAAGGGAAGAAGAGGACAAAGUUUUCAGAAAGUUUCAACGUAGAAACAGCAAAGUGUCUGCUACAUCAUAGGCACUGGAACGAUGACUCUCCAGCUCUUCACCUCAAACGCUCAGUUUUGUAAGAGGUGAAAAUAGAGAAUGGUCCAUAGACUUCUAGGUUGCUCUGGCCAUAACCAAUCUUGCCAGCCUCUCUGAAAUCAAGCAGUAUCCUACCUACAUUAGGUGACAACUUUAGAAUUAGACUUAAAACUUUUAAAAAUUCUUUUUUGGAAAUAAAAUUAAG
Long non-coding RNA from Cavia porcellus (domestic guinea pig), 765 nucleotides. RefSeq lists it as uncharacterized. The transcript is spliced from 4 exons. Lineage: Eukaryota; Metazoa; Chordata; Mammalia; Rodentia; Caviidae. The record is from RefSeq and is a predicted model, not a curated record.